Molecule: ribosomal RNA, 209 nt
Filed under: uncultured bacterium
Lineage: Bacteria
Description: partial 16S ribosomal RNA
Rfam family: Bacterial small subunit ribosomal RNA
Source: RNAcentral
UUCGGAUUGCAGGCUGCAACUCGCCUGCAUGAAGCUGGAAUUGCUAGUAACCGCGGAUCAGCAAGCCGCGGUGAAUACGUUCCCGGGCCUUGUACACACCGCCCGUCACACCAUGAGAGUCGGGAACACCCGAAGUCCGUAGUCUAACCGCAAGGGGGGCGCGGCCGAAGGUGGGUCCGGUAAUUGGGGUGAAGUCGUAACAAGGUACC